GCUCAAUUCCCCAUUGGAAAGCAUUUUCAACUCGACAGAUUGUGAAGAUGUAAAAGAUAAUGCCGCGCAUGCGCAUUAGGUCUCCCGGCCGAUGGGCGGGGAUCAGUCGUGCCCACCGGCCGACGUAAUACAGAGGAGAAGCAGCGACGUGGGACAUGUCGCUGCCUCUGGUAAGUUACUGAAGGGGUUUUCACCCCUUCAGCAACCAGGGAUUGAG
Non-coding RNA from Pelobates cultripes (western spadefoot toad), 217 nucleotides. The record is from the annotation of a GenBank genome assembly. Lineage: Eukaryota; Metazoa; Chordata; Amphibia; Anura; Pelobatidae.